RNAcentral lists this ribosomal RNA (805 nucleotides) under Staphylococcus pseudintermedius. Its description in RNAcentral is "partial 23S ribosomal RNA". It matches the Rfam family "Bacterial large subunit ribosomal RNA", at positions 402 to 1209 of the family's 2925-position model. The record is from RNAcentral. Lineage: Bacteria; Bacillati; Bacillota; Bacilli; Caryophanales; Staphylococcaceae.
UGGAUCCUGAGUACGACGGAGCACGUGAAAUUCCGUCGGAAUCUGGGAGGACCAUCUCCUAAGGCUAAAUACUCUCUAGUGACCGAUAGUGAACCAGUACCGUGAGGGAAAGGUGAAAAGUACCCCGGAAGGGGAGUGAAAGAGAACUUGAAACCGUGUGCUUACAAGUAGUCAGAGCCCGUUAAUGGGUGAUGGCGUGCCUUUUGUAGAAUGAACCGGCGAGUUACGAUCUGAUGCAAGGUUAAGCAGAAAAUGUGGAGCCGUAGCGAAAGCGAGUCUGAAUAGGGCGAAUGAGUAUUUGGUCGUAGACCCGAAACCAGGUGAUCUACCCUUGGUCAGGUUGAAGUUCAGGUAACACUGAAUGGAGGACCGAACCGACUUACGUUGAAAAGUGAGCGGAUGAACUGAGGGUAGCGGAGAAAUUCCAAUCGAACUUGGAGAUAGCUGGUUCUCUCCGAAAUAGCUUUAGGGCUAGCCUCAAGUGAUGAUUAUUGGAGGUAGAGCACUGUUUGGACGAGGGGCCCCUCUCGGGUUACCGAAUUCAGACAAACUCCGAAUGCCAAAUAAUUUAACUUGGGAGUCAGAAUGUGGGUGAUAAGGUCCAUAUUCGAAAGGGAAACAGCCCAGACCACCAGCUAAGGUCCCAAAAUAUAUGUUAAGUGGAAAAGGAUGUGGCGUUGCCCAGACAACUAGGAUGUUGGCUUAGAAGCAGCCAUCAUUUAAAGAGUGCGUAAUAGCUCACUAGUCGAGUGACACUGCGCCGAAAAUGUACCGGGGCUAAACAUAUUACCGAAGCUGUGGAUUG